UCGGCAGAGAGCUUCAGGCUGACAGAGUGAGCUGGUGACGGACACCGAAAUACCGCCACCACGGCUCUCCAAACACCUCCAAACCACGCUGCAGCGACAUUCUUCAACCGUACCGAGCGUUUUGUACCACACAGAGACGGAAAAAUGUGAUUGCAAUCGGAGGCGGCUGCACUCCAAUGGUCCAGGACCUCACCUCACUUCUCUAGAAUGUACUUGAUGAAUGUACCUCCUGUCGCAGCGACGCAAACAGAAUGGAGAACGUGUGGCCCGCCUGGAGGCUAUAGCCUUCCGAUCUGCUUCAAUGACUCUGACCCCGAGUUGUCCACCAGAGGCACACCUAUCUCAGACAAGGUCCAGAUGAUCAUAGAGAGCCUUAGGAGCACCCAGUCCUCACUCGAGAUGGGCGAUGAUAUUGAGGGAAAUGUUCUAUCAGGACAAGAAGGUCAUCCCCAAGCCUGCAAGGCUGCAGUGGGUUCUUCUGCGGGAGCUAAACCCAAAACUAAAGGUCCCACCGAAAGCCAGCUAGCAGACGUGUCCUCCCCGACGAAUCAUGAGAUCAGUGACACUGACAGCGAUGACUCUGUGGACAGAGGAAUCGAGGAGGCAAUACUGGAGUACCUGAAGGAAAAGGAUGGUCACAAACGCAAAGCUGAACCGUGCUUUAACUUUUUCCAAUCAUCCAAAAUUCCCAGGAAAAACCCACCUGCUCCUGAAGUUCCCAAACAGAACUCGGACACAAACACAUUUUUGAUACCCAGUAGUCAGUUUCCAAAAAGCCUCAAAGCUGAGACUCCAACAGCACCGGCUGUCAUACCUAUAAAGAAGUACAUUAAACACAAGGCCUCAUUAGAAGAAAACAGCGCAAAGAAAUUUGACUCAAAUAAAAGUUCACUAACCAAAAGUUUAGUCUUGCCCAAAGAAGAGCAGACACAAAGCCCCUCCAAAACCGGCAGCCUCCUCAGUAAAGUAAAGUGCCCAGUCAGCGACAAACUGGAAGAAGACUCCGAUGACUCAAGCAGUGAUGAUGGCAUAGAGGAAGCCAUUCAAAGAUACCAGUUAGAGAAGAAGGAGCAGCAGAACAAAAGGGAAACCUUCAAUCCCCACGAAUUCAGUGAGGAUUCAGACUCCACUAGUGAUGAUGGGAUCGAGGAAGCUAUUCGUUGCUACCAGCUUGAGCAACUCAAGGAGAAGAGUGGUCUGAAACCAUUCCUGCACAAGCAGAAGACGUUUAGUAGGUCAGUUAUACAUGCUGUCGGAAGUAUAAGCAUGGAAAACAUGAAGAAACGUAAACUGAAAAAGAAAAAAUCAAGAACUGAUAAAGAAGCAAAAGCUGUUCAACCUCCACUUUUGUCUGCACCCAAGAAUGCACCAUCAGAGGGUUUGAAAGCUAAAGGAAAUGGACUGCCUUCAUUAAAAACGGAGAGUUCUAACGAGCCACCGGCUUUUCCUUCUGCCCCUCCGAAGGUGAAUACAACAGCAGAGCUAAUGUGUGCUGAAGCAAUUCUGGACAUUUCCAAAACUGUUAUGCCUGAGGCCUUCCAUCACAGCGUCAGUCUGAGCAGUUUCACCCCCUUAGAAUCUCCUCUGCAAUCUUCCCUUCCUGACAACAGCAAAGACAAAGAAAGUGAUGGCAGCUCCAUUGACAGUGAAGAUGGGAUCGAGCAAGAAAUCAGAAAAUUUCUCGAGCAGAAAGCCCAAAUGCAUCAGCAGCCACAAGAUUCUGCAAAAACCCAAGAAACUCAAAGUAUAAAUAAACCAGAUGAAGUGAAAGCAAAGCAAGUUACAACCCAGAAGAAACCUCUGAGAUUGUCUUUAACACAGAGAAGAAAAAACAGAGACGUAAAUGCAGCUAACGCAUCUGUGAAUGAAAACAAAGUGAGAGAAACAUCCUCUAAAACUGACUCAAGCCAGAGAGGUCAAACGCACCACGCCGGACUGCGUGAGAGAGACCAAAGCGGGGACAAAAGCAGCUCGCUUGACAGCGACGAAGACCUGGACACCGCCAUUAAAGACCUGCUCAAGACGAAAAAGAAGUCAAAGAAGAAAAGAGACUUAAAGCUGAAAUCAAAGAAGUGCCUCAAGGAUGAAGAAACCGUGCUAGGAAAUUCCUCACAGCCCAAGAAGUCAAAACAUAAUCCUACUUCCAAACGCAGUGCUUUGAAAAAAGUGCAAAAGGGUAAGGACGACAUGAAAGAGAAGUCUGGGCUGAGUAAAAAGACUGUUUUACAACACAAGCAAGCUGAUAAGAGUAAGGAGCGUGAUACGCACAAAGUAAGUGAGAGUCAUGACGCCCCACCGCUCAAUUCUCAGACUGCUCUUCAGAUCAAGGACGACAGCAGUUCAGUAGACAGCGAUGAUAGCAUUGAGCAAGAGAUCAGAAGGUUUCUGGCUGAAAAGGCAAAAGUUUCAGAUAAAAGAAAAGAUGAAGAUGUUUCGAGGAACGGCACUGAUGUGGCUCAAAGCCCUCCUAAAGAUAAAGACGUUAAACAGGAAAAUCAGCUGGCUGAAAUUCCAAGAAAAAGUACCAGUCCUCUCUCUGGGCAGUCUUUAACGCCACAAAGUUCUCAGCAAGACGCCUCAACUGUUGGAGUACUGCAUAUGUCUGCAGUCCUGCCCUGCAGCCCCGGUCUACUGGAGCCCGCUGAUGGUGCUGGGGCUGCCAGAAUGGAGCAAAAGCAGCCUAGCACUGGAAGAAGCGACACCAGUGAGGCAACGCCAUCCGCUGAAAGAGUUCGACAAGUUUUGAGCCCCAGUGCUGCUCAUUCCCGCUCUGAGUCAAUGAAGUGGCGCCAGAGCCUCGGCCUACCCACUACCGACACAAGGGCUCUCAGUCGGACUCCAUUCCAUAUCACGGCGUCUAGAAUCAGCGAGACGUCAUCAGCGACUGCACCGUAUCAAAGCGGGGUCAUCACCCCAAAAUCCCAGACUCCAGUCGCUGCCUGGUCCUCUGCAAGGACGGGCAGAGGACCGUUUCCCUGCUCUGCUGAGGCGACUGUAAACUCAACCUACAGAUCCACCGUUUUAAAUCUUUCAUCUCUUGCCAGGCAGCAUCCUAGGAUGUCCUUUGCACGCAGCCUUGGGUCCGACCACAGGUCACAGUGUCUGAUAGAGGGCGAGACAAAGAGUAUGGUGCACAUGUCUAAGGAUAAAAGUGUGUUUGUUGAACUGGAAACCAAUAGGACCAACCACGUCCAGGUUCGAAGCAGGGAAAGGAGCGAGGGAAAGGAGAGGGCGGACUCUCUAAGCGAGAGAAAAAGGGAAACAGAGAGCAUGAAGAUAGAGGAAAAAGAUCUAGAAAGAAGAGAGGAUGAAUUUAUAGAUGAGGCAGAAUGUGAGUCAGGCAGCAGGAGAAAUCAAGAGAAGAAGCAGGGCUUUCCCACUUUGUCUUUGUCCAGUGCCAUUGACCCUGGCAUCACCUUCAGACCUUGUAUAGCUCUCACAACAGAGGAGAGAAGCAGGAUGUUCAGCAGGAGGUACCAGACUGAAAAAAGCAGAGAGUUUUCCAGAACCUGUUUGUGAAAGUGUUGCUUCACUGUUGACCCACUCCUCCAAAAUGAUCUCCUUCCUGUCAAAGAAAACAAUCAACAUGGUGGUGCCUUCUCUCAGGAGUGUUCCUGUGCAGAACCAGGCUGUGCAGCGAGUCAAAAGAAAGCUUCACUUCAUCCCAGUUGACAGGAAGAAAUGAAGCACCAGGCUAUCCCAGCAAGCAGAUAAACCAGCCUUAGGUGUUGAAGAGUAAUUCUCCAUGUUCUGCGAAUGUUUUCUUAUACAGGUUCUCUAGGAUUUGACGUUUUAGGCCAUUUUUGCACCUUUUAAGCACAGUUCACUGUAGAAUUCAUCCAAUUUUCUGUUUUAGAGAAAUUUGUAACUGUAAGGAACGUUUAGGAGCACAGUUAAUGUUUGUGAAGCCAGCAGGCAGCAUUUAUGAUUGCUUGCACUGAGAUAAAAACGUUAGUCACCUCUGUCCAAACUUAUUUGGUUUUACUUGACUACAUGGGUGCGUGGGGGCAACUGACACACCAAUAAUUCUGCCCUCAAAUCAGCUGAUUU
Molecule: RNA transcript, 4050 nt
Organism: Cheilinus undulatus (humphead wrasse)
Lineage: Eukaryota; Metazoa; Chordata; Actinopteri; Labriformes; Labridae
Gene: ppp1r26
Gene name: protein phosphatase 1, regulatory subunit 26
Exons: 6
Source: RefSeq, a predicted model, not a curated record